RNAcentral lists this ribosomal RNA (497 nucleotides) under uncultured bacterium. Its description in RNAcentral is "partial 16S ribosomal RNA". It matches the Rfam family "Bacterial small subunit ribosomal RNA", at positions 28 to 507 of the family's 1533-position model. The record is from RNAcentral.
GAUGAACGCUGGCGGCGUGCCUAAUACAUGCAAGUCGAGCGAACAGACGAGGAGCUUGCUCCUUUGACGUUAGCGGCGGACGGGUGAGUAACACGUAGGUAACCUACCUAUAAGACUGGGAUAACUUCGGGAAACCGGAGCUACUACCGGAUAAUAUUUCGAACCGCAUGGUUCGAUAGUGAAAGAUGGCUUUGCUAUCACUUAUAGAUGGACCUGCGCCGUAUUAGCUAGUUGGUAAGGUAACGGCUUACCAAGGCAACGAUACGUAGCCGACCUGAGAGGGUGAUCGGCCACACUGGAACUGAGACACGGUCCAGACUCCUACGGGAGGCAGCAGUAGGGAAUCUUCCGCAAUGGGCGAAAGCCUGACGGAGCAACGCCGCGUGAGUGAUGAAGGUCUUCGGAUCGUAAAACUCUGUUAUUAGGGAAGAACAAACGUGUAAGUAACUGUGCACGUCUUGACGGUACCUAAUCAGAAAGCCACGGCUAACUACGUG